UAGAAUGAAUGACAUUAAUGUAGGUUU
This 27-nucleotide non-coding RNA is filed under the name Bombyx mori (domestic silkworm). Lineage: Eukaryota; Metazoa; Arthropoda; Insecta; Lepidoptera; Bombycidae. The record is from RNAcentral.